This 64-nucleotide transfer RNA is filed under the name Cavia porcellus (domestic guinea pig). It matches the Rfam family "tRNA", at positions 1 to 62 of the family's 71-position model. Rfam says of the family: Transfer RNA (tRNA) molecules are approximately 80 nucleotides in length. Lineage: Eukaryota; Metazoa; Chordata; Mammalia; Rodentia; Caviidae. The record is from Rfam by way of RNAcentral.
GGAGAUUUAGUUUAGCGGUUUAAGCACCUGCCUUGCAAGCAGGUAGUCAUGAGUUCAAUCCCCU